Molecule: long non-coding RNA, 675 nt
Organism: Pantherophis guttatus
Lineage: Eukaryota; Metazoa; Chordata; Lepidosauria; Squamata; Colubridae
Source: RefSeq, a predicted model, not a curated record
GGUUUCACUAAGUCGGGAUGAAAAAGAUUCCGGUCCAAAAACAAGGAAAGUUGCUGCUAUUCUCUCUAUGUAACAAUGAGUUAAAUGAAACAAUGGGGGGGGGCUUCAUUUUCUAGAUCCUUGACCAUUACUCUCUUUACAGAUCACUGUCUUUCACUGCUGGUAGUGGGAGAUUUAAUAGGAAUUAAGGAAUUACAUCUGACGGGACCCAGAAAAAAGGCCUUUUCUGUGGUGGCUCCCUCCCUUUGGAAGAUCAUCCAGACUGGCCCACACUUUGACACUCUUUCGCAAGGCUCUGAAGACCUGGUUCUGCCAACGGGCCUGGGGAACCCAGAGCGGGAUGGAACCCAUCAAAUGGCUUGUUUGAUUGCUUGUUGUCACCUGAGGAGUGGGUGCUUCAGUUUCAAAGACAGAAAACUAUUCCUAUCAUGAAUAUAACUUCACCCAUAUUAGGAUGAAGGCCAAAGAGAGAAUUAAUUAAGGUAUCAGGAUCCGAAAGACAAAAGAAAUUAAUGUCCUGCUAUGAUUUAUAUUAAUUGAUCUUGUCUAAUUAGUACUUAUAAAAAGAUAUCUUAAAGCACUCUAUAAUACUUUUCUGGCUUCAUCAUUUGAUUUCAGUAUAUGUAUUGCCUGACAUAUUGUAUGUCUUUUGCAAGAAAAUGAUUUUAAAAUGUC